GGGUAGAUCAACCCCCCGGAUGGAAGAGGGGGGCCAAGCGUGUAGGCCGGUGAUGGGUGUAGGCAAAUCCGCACCCGGAGGUCGAGGCGCGAAGGGGACGCAAAAGAGCGGAAGUGAUUGACCCCAGCUGCCAAGAAAAGCCUCUAAGUGAUGAAGCUUAGGUGACCGUACCGCAAACCGACACAGGUGGGCAGGUAGAGGAUACCAAGGCGAACGGGAGAACCUUCAUCAAGGAAUUAGGCAAAUUAACCCCGUAACUUCGGGAGAAGGGGUGCCCUUGUGUGUGAGACCCGAACGGGAGGAGCACAUGGGGGUCGCAGUGACAAGGCUUUAGCGACUGGUUACCAAAACCACAGGUCUCUGCAAACUCGAAAGAGGACGUAUAGGGGCUGACACCUGCCCAGUGCCGGAAGGUUAAGGGGAGUGGUUAGGGGAAACCCGAAGCUACGAACCGAAGGCCCCGGUGAACGGCGGCCGUAACUAUAACGGUCCUAAGGUAGCGAAAUUCCUUGUCGGGUAAGUUCCGACCCGCACGAAUGGUGUAACGACUAAAGCACUGUCUCGAUGAAGGACCCGGCGAAAUUGAAGACGCGGUAAAGAUGCCGUGUACCCGCAGCAGGACAAAAAGACCCCGUGGAGCUUUACUGCAACUUGACACUGGGUGAGGGUUUAGCUUGUGUAGGAUAGGUGGGAGGCAGAGAAGCCAGGGCGCUAGCCUUGGUGGAGCCGCCAGUGAAAUACCACCCUGGCUAAAUCUUUACUCUAACUCUCAGCCGUAAACCGGCGAGGGGACCGUGUCAGGCGGGCAGUUUGACUGGGGUGGUCGCCUCCCAAAAGGUAACGGAGGCGCCCAAAGGUUCCCUCAGGUGGAAUGGAAACCCACCGCAGAGUGCAAAGGCAUAAGGGAGCUUGACUGCGAGGCCGACGGGCCGAGCAGAGACGAAAGUCGGGCUUAGUGAUCCCACGGUACCGAGUGGAAGGGCCGUGGCAAACGGAUAAAAGCUACCCCGGGGAUAACAGGGUGGUAGGGCCCAAGAGUUCACAUCGACGGCCCUGGUCGCCACCUCGAUGUCGGCUCGGCACAUCCUGGGGCUGGACAAGGUCCCAAGGGUUGGACUGUUCGUCCAUUAAAGUGUCACGCGAGCUGGGUUCAGACCGUCGUGAGACAGGUCGGUCUCUAUCCGCUGUGGGCGUAGGGGACUUGAGGGGAGCUGCCCUCAGUACGAGAGGACCAGGGUGGACGAACCGCUAGUGUGUCAGUUGUACCGCCAGGUGCAUGGCUGAGUAGCUAGGUUCGGCAAGGAUAACCGCUGAAAGCAUCUAAGUGGGAAGCCAGCCCCGAGAUAAGGUCCCCCAUCCCGAAAAGGGAGUAAGGCCGCUGGAAGACUACCAGUUAGAUAGGCGGGAGGUGUAAGCGCAGCAAUGCGUUAAGCUAACCCGUACUAACGGCCGAGGGCUUCCUUAC
Molecule: ribosomal RNA, 1465 nt
Filed under: marine sediment metagenome
Description: bacterial LSU rRNA
Rfam family: Bacterial large subunit ribosomal RNA
Source: RNAcentral